Molecule: ribosomal RNA, 253 nt
Filed under: uncultured bacterium
Lineage: Bacteria
Description: partial 16S ribosomal RNA
Rfam family: Bacterial small subunit ribosomal RNA
Source: RNAcentral
GACGAACCGAGCGAACGUUGUUCGGAAUCACUGGGCUUAAAGGGCGCGUAGGCGGGCUGUCAAGUCUGGGGUGAAAUCCCGCGGCUCAACCGUGGAACUGCCUCAGAUACUGACGGCCUCGAGGGAGGUAGGGGCGAGCGGAACGGGUGGUGGAGCGGUGAAAUGCGUUGAUAUCACUCGGAACUCCGGUGGCGAAGGCGGCUCGCUGGACCUCUUCUGACGCUGAGGCGCGAAAGCUAGGGGAGCAAACGGG